GGAUGAAGAACGCAGCGAAAUGCGAUAAGUAGUGUGAAUUGCAGAAUUCAGUGAAUCAUCGAAUCUUUGAACGCACAUUGCGCCUUAUGGUAGUCCGUAAGGCAUGCCUGUUCGAACGUCAUCAAACCCCUCGAGUCCUCUGGCUUUGCGGCCACAGGAACCUCGGUUGUGCCCUUGGCGGAUUGGUUCUUCCAGUCCUCCUGGGCGAAAUACAUUGUGCUGAUCCACGGGUCGCCAAAGCGUAGUAAGCCUAAACAGCUCUCGCCUGGCAUCAGAUCUGGUAGGUGUCAUGCCGUUGAACCCAAUUCUAUAAGAGUUUGACUUCGGAUCAGGUAGGGAUACCCGCUGAACUUAAGCAUAUCAAUAAGCGGAGGA
Molecule: unclassified non-coding RNA, 375 nt
Filed under: soil metagenome
Description: partial contains 5.8S ribosomal RNA, internal transcribed spacer 2, and large subunit ribosomal RNA
Rfam family: 5.8S ribosomal RNA (bases 2-121)
Source: RNAcentral